UAAAAGCUUGGUUCUAGCUUAAAGUUUAGCUGUCCUCUAUCUGCCACAUGCGAGCCUUAAGACGUUCCAGCAAGAUGAGAAAUACCUUUUAUAAGACUUCUCAGUUGAUAAGUUUUCACCUAACAAAAGAUACCACUUGCGAUCAGCAGUGCCUAAUUUUAUAAAAUUUGGGAAACCAAGAAAUAGACAAGAGGAAAACAGGGUGGUUAAUAACGUGCCAGCAACCGCGGUUACACGUUAAGCCUAAGUUAAACUAAGCCGGUCCAAAGGAGGUAAGGCCUUUACAAGAACAACCACUUUAAAAGAAGUCCUCAGCAGUAAUAAGCUUAAGACUAAAAAAUAGAGUAAGAAAGGCCCAGCCGAAAGAGAGGGAAAUAAACUGGAAUUAGAUACUCCACUAUACCCAUUUGUAAAUAAAAUAAACACCAGAGCAGUACAGCUAAAAGCUGAAACUUAAAGAACUUGGCGGUUUUCUAGCCCUUCUCGGAGGAGCUUGUCAUUGAAUUGAUAACCCACAAGGUACCUCACCAUUUAAAGACUAAUCCAGCCUGUAUACCAUCGUCGUCAGCUCACCUCUCUAGAAAGUGAGCAAAAAGGUAAACACAAUUCCACAACGUCAGAUCAAGGUGCAGCCAAUGAAAUGGGAAUCGAUGAGCUACCCUACUUUGUAACAGAGGAUUUUUCGCUGAAAAGUGUUUCUGAAAAAGGAUUCGACAGUAAUUUUUUAUAGAGAAAUUUUAUGAAACCAGCUCUAGAAUGCGCACACAUCGCCCGUCACUCUCGUCAAACGAGGAGAAAAGUCGUAACAUAGUAGGUGUACCGGAAGGUGUACCUGGACCAAA
Molecule: non-coding RNA, 842 nt
Filed under: Isostichopus badionotus
Lineage: Eukaryota; Metazoa; Echinodermata; Holothuroidea; Aspidochirotida; Stichopodidae
Source: RNAcentral